CCCCUGGAUGAUGAGGAACUCAUCCAGUACAUCAUUACCGGGCUUGGUGAAGGGUACAGCGAGGUGGUCUCUGCUGUGUGUGCUCGUUCUGAGCCACUCACAAUAGGAGAUCUAUACUCGCAAGUGCUGAACUACGAGG
This is a small nucleolar RNA of Oryza rufipogon (brownbeard rice), 139 nucleotides long. It matches the Rfam family "Small nucleolar RNA Z247". Rfam says of the family: Z247 is a member of the C/D class of snoRNA which contain the C (UGAUGA) and D (CUGA) box motifs. The record is from Rfam. NCBI's taxonomy places the organism in Eukaryota, Viridiplantae, Streptophyta, Magnoliopsida, Poales, Poaceae.